GACGAACGCUGGCGGCGUGCUUAACACAUGCAAGUCGAACGGAAAGGCCCUGCUUUUGUGGGGUGCUCGAGUGGCGAACGGGUGAGUAACACGUGAGUAACCUGCCCUUGACUUUGGGAUAACUUCAGGAAACUGGGGCUAAUACCGGAUAGGAGCUCCUGCUGCAUGGUGGGGGUUGGAAAGUUUCGGCGGUUCGGGAUGGACUCGCGGCUUAUCAGCUUGUUGGUGGGGUAGUGGCUUACCAAGGCUUUGACGGGUAGCCGGCCUGAGAGGGUGACCGGCCACAUUGGGACUGAGAUACGGCCCAGACUCCUACGGGAGGCAGAAGUGGGGAAUAUUGCACAAUGGGCGGAAGCCUGAUGCAGCAACGCCGCGUGCGGGAUGACGGCCUUCGGGUUGUAAACCGCUUUCGCCUGUGACGAAGCGUGAGUGACGGUAAUGGGUAAAGAAGCACCGGCUAACUACGUG
Molecule: ribosomal RNA, 468 nt
Filed under: uncultured bacterium
Lineage: Bacteria
Description: partial 16S ribosomal RNA
Rfam family: Bacterial small subunit ribosomal RNA
Source: RNAcentral